Molecule: ribosomal RNA, 255 nt
Filed under: uncultured bacterium
Lineage: Bacteria
Description: partial 16S ribosomal RNA
Rfam family: Bacterial small subunit ribosomal RNA
Source: RNAcentral
CACGUAGGGCGCAAGCGUUGUCCGGAAUUAUUGGGCGUAAAGCGCACGUAGGCGGCUUUCUAAGUCAGGGGUGAAAUCCUGGAGCUCAACUCCAGAACUGCCUUUGAUACUGGAGAGCUUGAGUCCGGGAGAGGUGAGUGGAACUCCGAGUGUAGAGGUGAAAUUCGUAGAUAUUCGGAAGAACACCAGUGGCGAAGGCGGCUCACUGGCCCCGGUACUGACGCUGAGUGUGCGAAAGCGUGGGGAGCGAACAGG